RNAcentral lists this long non-coding RNA (2999 nucleotides) under Sorghum bicolor (sorghum). Its description in RNAcentral is "long non-coding RNA (SBIC_LNC009616)". Lineage: Eukaryota; Viridiplantae; Streptophyta; Magnoliopsida; Poales; Poaceae. The record is from RNAcentral.
CGGCCCAUCCCAACUUCCACCUAGGCCACAGGCCCAUUAUCGCACCAAUAGUGUUCAGUUGCAGAUAGAUCAUCACGAACUCCAACAAUAUUUAUUCAACGGACGUGCCUGGAGAAGCUCCAAGCGGAUCGAGGUUCUGCUGCAUGGUGCUUAUCGAAUUAGAUGAAAUUCCGGAUAAUUCGGACCGAUGUCCACUCAAAAUUUUGAAUGAAAUUUGAGCAAAUUUGAAGAAAACUUCCCUGGACGAGGAGUGCUCACCUGGCAAAGGAAACUAGAGACACAACAAACACAAAGAACUCUAUGCGCGUGUGCCUGGCAAAGGAAACUAGCUAGAGAUCUGUUGCCACACACCUCUGUAGAUACGCCAAUGUCAGGGCAGGCAUGUGGGAAGCUUAGUCUUGUUUCCUGUCUAAUGUAUAACUGAAUUAAAUCAGUGUGUAUAAUUCCUGUACAUAUUCUUCUGGUGUACCGUACUACUGUGUCAUAUAUAUAAAAGACGUACGUGUGCAAAACAACUUUCUGAAACUGUGUGGUCAUUUUUGGAAAAACAACUGAUCACAGCGUUGCAUAAAACUAACGCCGAUCUAGUUGGUAGUAGACAUUCCUAGCAUGUGAUCGUGCCAUGCUUAUCUUGGACUUAGUGGUUUGUGUGUUACUAUGGUGAAAUCCCCCGUGUCUGCCUUGUUAUCUCUGGCAUGGACAACCUCACCCAGUUGCAAAAACAUAAUUCCUUAUGUCUGCCAUUCCUGGUCUAUCCUAUACCACUUGUGGGUUUGUUAUUGGCUUUCGUCCCUCUUUUGACUUAUCUGUUUGCAGCAACUAAAAUACCUGUAUAUAUAUGCUGUCAUAGUCAAGGGCGUCAUAGUCAUAUUAAAGAUCUGAACGGUGAGUGUUCAACUUUGUUUUAUGAACUAGUGAGGCAGAUUUUGGGGGCUACAUAAUAUUAUUUUUAAUAACACCUGAGCUGAAUAAUAUUAAUAAAAUAUAAUAGAUCUCAUGAAUAUAGUAUCUAUGAUGAUUACAGGCUAUGGACUAUAUUUCUUAUUUCUGUAAGAUUUGCUAGGAUAUCGGUUGAAGUCAGGGUUGAAUCAAGAUGAAGAGAUGUGGGCAGAUUCGCAGACAAGGGAUAUAUAGUUCUGUAUAAACAAUGAAUAUAUAGUGUAGCUUAUAGCAUAUUUUGAUCUAAUAAGCACUCAACUUAUAGAAAAGCUAUUAGCUUGCUUCCUCCUGCCAUUGCAGCUUAUAAAUUGUUUAGCUGACUCAAAUGAGGCCUAUGUUCUGUCAUGAAUUACCUUUGGUUCCCAUGCCACGUCAUGUUACAGGGACUCAAGGAGGAUGUAGAUUUAAUCUAACUCAGCUCCUAUAUCUUAUAUGGCUAAUUUUUCCUCAGCACUACAAUACUCAUAUGGACCUUUGCAGCAUUUGCACAUGUAUAUAACAACACAUGUAAAAUGUUGUUUUGCUGUUGAUAUUUAACACAUUUUUCCUAACAAAUAUCUUUGCUCCAUUUACAAAUCCGGGUACUUCUCUAUGCCUCUGCCACACAGAACAGAUACCAUGCUACUGUGAAGUGCGCACACAUUUUCCGCAAACUAUCACUGAAGAGAACAACAACAAGCUUUUUCUUGCUCCAAAAGUACAAAGGUGAAGUGCGCAGCUUGUUGCUGCACUUCUUUUCACUUUCCAUGCAUACAUUCAUUCAUAUUCUUUAUUUUCCACACAAGUUUAUAUAUUAUUUUUUUAUCAACUAAUGCUACACAAAAAAUAUGAUUUUGCUGAAUCAAGUUAAAUUAUUAAUGUUACGAACCAUAUGGAGAUUUGUGGCUCAAUGCAACACUUUGCAUUAAGUCCAUACCUUUGGAAGCAUUCUGUAUCAUGCAUAAAAAAAACUAGCAUUAUAGCGUAAAGGAGCUGGACCGUACCUUUGUUGACACGUACGCCACAGGAAUCCAUAUAAAUAAUGGUCUACUGUAUUCGAUUGGACUCCCUCAGUUUACAUGUCUUAAUGUUUUCCUAUAUCAAAUAGUAGUUCAUAUAGUUUGGAAACACGAUUACAAAGGCCUUGUUUACUUCCACCCCAAAACCUAAAAUUUUGCAAGAUUCCACGUUACAUCGAAUCUUUAGAUACAUGCAUGGAGUAUUAAAUAUAGACAAAAAUAAAAACUAAUUGCACAGUUUGGUCGAAAUAUACGAGACAAAUUUUUUGAGCCUAGUUAGUCCAUGAUUGAACAAUAAUUACCAUAAACAAAAAAAAAAUGCUACAGUGUCGCGAAAUUUUUCUCUUCCCGAACUAAACACGUCCAAAGUUUAUGCGAGCACACCCUUUUAUCCCAACCGUCUACAGAUGCAUGCAGGAGGAAACUGGAACUACAUGGAGAACAAUGUUUAAUCGAUGGAUCAGUUAAGUUAAAAAUAGACUCCCCAAUUACAUGGAGAUGUAAAUCUAUUCAAAUUUGGCACCUAAAAGGAGGGACCUAGUUAUAAAUUCGUAUUUACUUUAAACUGAAAUCGUACAGAUAAACAUGUCAUGGGUCUUUUGCAAAGGUUUACACCAUUUCAGCUGCACAAAACAUAGGUAAUUGAAAAUAACUAAGACAGUCUUUCAUUCGGAUCAAACUAUAGGGAUGCAGAACGUGACUGUGGUCACCUUCCUAAAUGAGCUGCCUCAGAGAAUUGGCCAGGAGCUUCAGGGCAUGGUGUACCAAAGGAUGCAUGGUUGUUUACCAGUAACACGUAAAAUAAAUGGCAGAAAGUCUUUUCAGUAUCUUACAGAUGACAUGGCGACGUUCUGCCAUGCAUGAGUUCCCUAUGCUUCCCAUGCCCCAUCCUGUUCCAAGGAGGAUUUGGAAGUCCAUCUCAUGCAGUGCUACAACACUCAUAUGGAGCCCUUGGCAGCAUGUAUAUUUAUCAAUAUAUAUGCACUUGUUCCCACUAUAAUGACAAUGUUCUUCAGUAUUGUUGUUGAGAUAUAAUAAAUUGUUCCUCACAAAUAUCGUUGC